GCGAGUGUGGUAUAACGGUAUUAUGCAACCUUCCCAAGGUUGAGAAGGGGGUUCGACUCCCCUCACUCGCU
RNAcentral lists this transfer RNA (71 nucleotides) under Parcubacteria group bacterium. Its description in RNAcentral is "tRNA-Gly". It matches the Rfam family "tRNA". From Rfam's summary of the family: Transfer RNA (tRNA) molecules are approximately 80 nucleotides in length. The record is from RNAcentral. RNAcentral also lists the same sequence under 1 other name.